GAAAUGCGAUAACUAGUGUGAAUUGCAGAAUUCCGUGAAUCAUCGAGUCUUUGAACGCACAUUGCGCCCCCCGGUAUUCCGGGGGGCAUGCCUGUCCGAGCGUCAUUGCUGCCCAUCAAGCACGGCUUGUGUGUUGGGUCGUCGUCCCCUCUCCGGGGGGGACGGGCCCCAAAGGCAGCGGCGGCACCGCGUCCGAUCCUCGAGCGUAUGGGGCUUUGUCACCCGCUCUGUAGGCCCGGCCGGCGCUUGCCGAACGCAAAUCAAUCUUUUUCCAGGUUGACCUCGGAUCAGGUAGGGAUACCCGCUGAACUUAAGC
Molecule: unclassified non-coding RNA, 316 nt
Filed under: plant metagenome
Description: partial contains 5.8S ribosomal RNA, internal transcribed spacer 2, and large subunit ribosomal RNA
Rfam family: 5.8S ribosomal RNA (bases 1-105)
Source: RNAcentral